RNAcentral lists this ribosomal RNA (396 nucleotides) under uncultured bacterium. Its description in RNAcentral is "partial 16S ribosomal RNA". It matches the Rfam family "Bacterial small subunit ribosomal RNA", at positions 359 to 774 of the family's 1533-position model. The record is from RNAcentral.
GAUAUUGGUCAAUGGGGGGAACCCUGAACCAGCAACACCGCGUGAGUGAAGAAGGUUUUCGGAUUGUAAACCUCUGUCUUCGGGGAAGAUAAUGACGGUACCCGAGGAGGAAGCAACUGCUAACUACGUGCCAGCAGCCGCGGUAAUACGUAGGUGGCAAGAGUUGUCCGGAAUUACUGGGUGUAAGUGGAGCGUAGGCGGGAAGGCAAGUUGAAUGUUAAAUCUAUCGGCUCAGCCGAUAGCCGCGUUCAAAACUGUCUUUCUUGAGUGAAGUAGAGGAAAGCAGAAUUCCUAGUGUAGCGGUGAAAUGCGUAGAGAUUAGGAGGAAUACCAGUGGCGAAGGAGGCUUGCUGGGCUUUUACUGACGCUGAGGCUCGAAAGUGUGGGGAGCAAACA